Manis javanica (Malayan pangolin) is the source of this 660-nucleotide long non-coding RNA. RefSeq lists it as uncharacterized. NCBI's taxonomy places the organism in Eukaryota, Metazoa, Chordata, Mammalia, Pholidota, Manidae. The record is from RefSeq and is a predicted model, not a curated record.
GAGCCGUGGACAUAUGAGGCCUUAGGCAUUGUGUUAGAAUGUUCUAGCUGCUAUAACCAAGUACCACAGACUGGGUAGCUUAAACAACAGAAGUUUAUUCUGCAGAGUUCUGGAGCCUGGAAAGUCUAGGAACAGCGGGCUGGCUGGUGUGAUUCCUGGUGAAAGCUCUCUGCCCAGCUUGCAGAGGGCCACCCUCAUGCUGUGUGCUCAUGCGGCCUUUCCUCGGCGUGUGAUCAGGGAGGCCUCUCUCUCUUCCUCUUCUCAUAAGGCCGCUUGUCCUAUCAGAUCAGAAAAUUUUGGAACUGGAAGAAACUGCAGCGGUCAAAUCAGUACACAUCACUCAACAUAUAAGCUCUCCCUGUUUGGAUACAGCAAACCUAAAAUGAUCUCGAUGAUUGCUUCACGAAUCUCCCGGGAUUACCAUACGUUGUGUGCAAAUGACAGCUUUAAAACAAAACAAAACAGUCCCGCCCUGUUUGGAAGCUUACUGAUACUAAAUGCUACACCAUGGUCAAUAGCCACCUGGGUUUGUUUGCAAGGGAAACCAGACCUCAAGGCCCUGCUGCUUGCAUUUUUAAAGGGACACUGUUCAUGAAAGAAGAUGAAGAUAUAACUAAGCAGUGUUAACAAAAUUGCCUAUCUUAAAUGUUUACACUGAAA